UAUACAAAGGGUGAAAUAAUUCCCUGACAGUUUGGUCCAUCGAUCGGAAUCUCAAGAAAGGACAAGAUCGACCGGGAGCAGAAACACGGAAGCCGUACGUCGAUGCAUCGCCCUGCCCAAUAGUUGGAUAGGUAAAGUCCCUUCGCGUUGAAUUCGUCGUUGGGCCGGCUGAAGGACUUCUGCCCCCGGGAAAGUCUGCCUUCUCGAGAUCCAGAUCCAGAUGAGACGCACAACAAGAAUAAUAAAUACAAGGCCAGGUGAAGGUGAAGGUGACUGGGUGUUCAUCAAAAUCAUCAAAUGAAAGAGCUGGUCUGACGACAGGGGGGAGUGCUACUGUCUACCCCCACUGCCGUUAAAAUUGCAGAACGCUCCACCUGGAUUCAUCUGUCACACUGUAAACUUCGUUCAUUUUUUUUAAGAUGCACCACUAGCGUUGAGUAGGGUUUCGUGCCUACUUGAGGGGGUUGAGAAAUAUAGCUCUUUUCCGUCUUAACGUCACCUAACCUCCAGGGAGCGCCCUGAGGGUUAGAGAUUCUGGUCAACAUAGUAGAGGUGUAUCUGUGUUUAUUGUUUUUCUUGUUUAUUUGUGUUUAUUGUUUUUCUGUAUACAAUAUAUAACUCCGGUAAAACAAUGUUUAAACUGUUACUAUUAAUGAUUAAUUCAGGGGUAAUGUUGGGUCUAUGGUCCUCUACAAGUGUAAUUGAGAGAAUCCAUAAGAGGUGGAUUUCAUACGGGGAACGUUACUCAUCUGUAUUUUAUUAAUUCAUGGUAUAGAUAUGCAUUUUUGCAAGCGAACAGACUUGAUAGGACCAAUUGCUAUGUAUGUACCUUAAUGCCAACAUCCUACUUUCACCCUAGACUUAAAUCAAGGCUACUCUCAUUCCAAGCAAUGAUCUGUGUUGGAGAGAAGUGUGCCCCAGACAACUGGGGCUACAGUAAGCCAUUUUAUGAUACAGACGAUACCCAGGUGCAGGAUCUGUGUAACAAUACCCACCCACUAGCAGAACUAAAAAACAUGCCACAACCUAGCUGUCACCUUAAGUGGCAGUCCAUUCCAUAUUCCUAAUGUGUUUUUCUAUUAGAGGAACAACGAG
Clupea harengus (Atlantic herring) is the source of this 1095-nucleotide long non-coding RNA. The record is from Ensembl. Lineage: Eukaryota; Metazoa; Chordata; Actinopteri; Clupeiformes; Clupeidae.